AAAAGUAUUUUAUGAGAAUGAAAUAAGAGAAUGAAAAGCAAUUGCAUAGAUAAAGUAAAUAAAAUGCACAAAUUCCUAGAAACACACAAGUAAUCAAGUCUUACUGAAAAGACAAUAAGAAAUCUGAGUAGAACUAUCACAAGUAACUCAAUUUGUAACAUCACAGUCAAAGAAAAGUAUAGAUCAAUAUCCUUUAUGAAUGAAUUUGCAAAAAUCAACAAAGUAUUAGUAAGCCAACUCCAACAGCACAUUAAAAGAAUUAUAUAGUAUGACCAUAUGGGAUUUUCCCCAGGAAUUCAAAGGGUGAUUUGAAGUAAGAAAACAAUGUAAUAAAACACAUGAAUAAAAGGAAAGAACCUGCAUGCAGUGGUGCACACUUAUAAUCCUAAUGGCUUGGGAGGCUGAGGCAGGAGGAUUUAAAGUUCAAAGCCAGCUUCAGCAAUUCAGCAAGGCAACUUAGUGAAGGCCUGUCUCAAAGUAAGAAAUAAAAGAUCUGGGAAUGUGGCGCAGUGGGUAUGUGUGAAUACAAUUUACCUCUUUUCUAAUUUGGGUUUAUGUGCAUUGAAAGACUUAAUAUUAUUAAGAAGGCAAUACUACCCAAAGUGUUCUAUAAAUUUAAUGCAGUCUCCAU
This 631-nucleotide long non-coding RNA is filed under the name Marmota monax (woodchuck). Lineage: Eukaryota; Metazoa; Chordata; Mammalia; Rodentia; Sciuridae. The record is from RNAcentral.